This 1348-nucleotide long non-coding RNA is filed under the name Nicotiana benthamiana. Its description in RNAcentral is "long non-coding RNA (NBEN_LNC025050)". The record is from RNAcentral. Lineage: Eukaryota; Viridiplantae; Streptophyta; Magnoliopsida; Solanales; Solanaceae.
GAAGAUUACGUUUCUCCUCUUCUUAGCAAGAGGCUGUAAGCCUUGACAUUAAUGAGUUGCCAACAAAUAUUUUCUCAUAUUAAUGACACUUCAUUAAUGUCUCAAAGAAAGACAAGACGAUCAAUUCAUCUGCACAUAUGUGCUUUUUCAAUAUAGUCAAUGAAAAUUUCGUUCACUAAUAACGUAUAUGUCUAAAUUCAAUUAAUUGCUGUCUCUAUUUAUCCCCUACAUCCUUCUCUACGGAAAAGGUCAGUUUAAACCAAACAUUGUUGUGCUUUCAAAAUAAAGGGUGAGGCAAGACUUUUUUGUUCAUCUUUAGUUAAUUAAUUUGUUUUUUUUUUGUUUAUUUGGUUAGUUUCAGUGUUUGCCCCCUUAACUCCUUAAUUAAUAUCUGUACUAUAUUUUUGAACGAUCUCCAUGCUUUUACACUUUAAUUUCAUACACAAUAAGUUCUGUUUUAAAAGCAAUUGGAGUGCAAUUUGACAUACAGAUGCAAUAACAAAAUUGUUAUGUCGAUUAUUAUUAACUGUAAUUAGAGAUUAGAAUUGCUUAAAGGGCAAAAUCAACAAAAUAUGAGUAAUGACAACAUUUGGGUACAAGUAAAGCAAUAUGAGAUGCUAAUUUAUGAACGAAAAUUGAGUUAAUUAGUCCCUACAACAACAACAACAAUAGCAACCUAGUAUAAUCCCACUUAGUGGGGUCUGGGGAGGGUAGUGUGUACGCAGACCUUUCCCCUAACCUGGGGUAGAAAGGCUGUUUCCAAAUAGACCCCCCCGCAUCCUUCCCUCCAAGAACUUCCCACCUUACUCUUGGGGAGACUCAAACUCACAACCUCUCGAUUGGAAGUGGGGGUGCUUACCAUCAGAGCAACCCCUCUUGUCUAAGCUAAUUAGUCCUCGUUCUUUAAAAAAAAUCUUAUAAUUCAAGAAAAAGGAAGCAUCAGUAGUUAUUUUUUAAAUACAUGAGAGGAUUCUCUGAAAUGCUUAAUGCUUUUUAAGGUACGCAGUGAUAUCUAUAUUGAAGUGGUAAUCUAUACACCGAGUUCAGUUUUUUAAUACAAUAUUUGUAGUUCAUUAAUUAUGAAAAUGGUGCUAAUGAAACUUGCAAGUUUACUGCAUAAUUGUUUUUAUCUCUGCAGAAAAUAUAAAUACAAGGAUGGCUUGUAACCGGAUGAGGGCAUUGGAGAAUAUUUGUGUGUUUUUCUGCAUAUUAGCUAUGACAUUAGUAAAUUGUAAAACAUAUCCUCCAUCAAUAGAAUAUGGUUGUUUUUUGUUAUGUAUUGACUAUUUACAAGUGGAGAGAGGCUUAGUUCAUCUUCCUCAGGCGGAGAUAGAAAGCAGAUGUAGAG